GUUGGACUGGGCUACUAUUAGUAGCAAAAUUCCAUUGUUGCUACCAGUUUUUUAGCCUUUGAAUCAACUCUUUCCAUUAUUUCUAACCAUUGGAUUAAAUACUAUAACCCAGUGGGGACCACUCAACUCUAGGGGGACCACUCAACUCUAACUGACUAAUAUCAUCCUGACCUUACAAUUUUUCAUCUAAGGGUUAAAAACUUGAUAGCAAAAAGAGCGUUUUACUAUUAAUAGUAUUCCAGCCUAAUUCUACAUAUAUAUAUAUAUAUAGUUCAGCUACUAUACUCUUAUGAGUAUAAACUUCUUUGUACUCAUAAAUUUUCGAAUUAAUUUUGAGAUUAAUUUUGGAUUUAAAUUCAAAAUUUUAAUUUUUUAUUUUUGGGGACUAAAGUGAAAAAUAAAGUUUAGGGACAAAAAUUGACAUGCAAAAUAAAGCUAAAUAGGCAAUGAUAUGAUAAUAUCAUUAAUUCUAAACCUCUUUUAAUAGUACCAUUUUGG
This 498-nucleotide long non-coding RNA is filed under the name Ananas comosus (pineapple). RNAcentral describes it as "long non-coding RNA (ACOM_LNC001093)". Lineage: Eukaryota; Viridiplantae; Streptophyta; Magnoliopsida; Poales; Bromeliaceae. The record is from RNAcentral.